This 402-nucleotide ribosomal RNA is filed under the name bacterium. RNAcentral's name for it is "partial 16S ribosomal RNA". It matches the Rfam family "Bacterial small subunit ribosomal RNA", at positions 355 to 776 of the family's 1533-position model. The record is from RNAcentral.
UGGGGAAUUUUGCACAAUGGGGGAAACCCUGAUGCAGCGACGCCGCGUGAUUUAGAAGGCCUUUGGGUUGUAAAAAUCUUUUUUACGGGAUGAAAAUGACAGUACCGUAAGAAUAAGGUCCGGCUAAAUACGUGCCAGCAGCCGCGGUAAUACGUAUGGACCGAGCGUUGUUCGGAAUCAUUGGGCGUAAAGGGUACGUAGGCGGCCUAGUAAGUUAGAAGUGAAAUAAUAUAGCUCAACUAUAUAAAGCUUUUAAAACUGCUAGGCUUGAGAGAUGGAAGGGAAAGUGGAAUUCCUAGUGUAGCGGUGAAAUGCGCAGAUAUUAGGAAGAAUACCGGUGGCGAAGGCGACUUUCUGGUCAUCAUCUGACGCUGAGGUACGAAAGCGUGGGUAGCAAACAGG